UAGGGAAUAUUGCACAAUGGGGGAAACCCUGAUGCAGCGACGCCGCGUGAAGGAAGAAGUAUCUCGGUAUGUAAACUUCUAUCAGCAGGGAAGACAAUGACGGUACCUGACUAAGAAGCCCCGGCUAACUACGUGCCAGCAGCCGCGGUAAUACGUAGGGGGCAAGCGUUAUCCGGAUUUACUGGGUGUAAAGGGAGCGUAGACGGCGAAACAAGUCUGAAGUGAAAGCCCGGGGCUCAACCCCGGGACUGCUUUGGAAACUGUGUUGCUAGAGUGCUGGAGAGGUAAGCGGAAUUCCUAGUGUAGCGGUGAAAUGCGUAGAUAUUAGGAAGAACACCAGUGGCGAAGGCGGCUUACUGGACAGUAACUGACGUUGAGGCUCGAAAGCGUGGGAGCAAACAGGAUUAGAUACC
Molecule: ribosomal RNA, 413 nt
Filed under: uncultured bacterium
Lineage: Bacteria
Description: bacterial SSU rRNA
Rfam family: Bacterial small subunit ribosomal RNA
Source: RNAcentral